GAUGAACGCUGGCGGCGUGCCUAAUACAUGCAAGUCGAGCGAACAGACGAGGAGCUUGCUCCUUUGACGUUAGCGGCGGACGGGUGAGUAACACGUGGGUAACCUACCUAUAAGACUGGGAUAACUUCGGGAAACCGGAGCUAAUACCGGAUAAUAUAUCGAACCGCAUGGUUCGAUAGUGAAAGAUGGCUUUGCUAUCACUUAUAGAUGGACCUGCGCCGCAUUAGCUAGUUGGUAAGGUAACGGCUUACCAAGGCAACGAUACGUAGCCGACCUGAGAGGGUGAUCGGCCACACUGGAACUGAGACACGGUCCAGACUCCUACGGGAGGCAGCAGUAGGGAAUCUUCCGCAAUGGGCGAAAGCCUGACGGAGCAACGCCGCGUGAGUGAUGAAGGUCUUCGGAUCGUAAAACUCUGUUAUUAGGGAAGAACAAACGUGUAAGUAACUGUGCACGUCUUGACGGUACCUAAUCAGAAAGCCACGGCUAACUACGUG
RNAcentral lists this ribosomal RNA (497 nucleotides) under uncultured bacterium. RNAcentral's name for it is "partial 16S ribosomal RNA". It matches the Rfam family "Bacterial small subunit ribosomal RNA", at positions 28 to 507 of the family's 1533-position model. The record is from RNAcentral.